AUUGAACGCUGGCGGCAUGCUUUACACAUGCAAGUCGAACGGCAGCGCGGGCUUCGGCCUGGCGGCGAGUGGCGAACGGGUGAGUAAUACAUCGGAACGUGCCCAGCAGUGGGGGAUAGCUCGGCGAAAGCCGGAUUAAUACCGCAUACGACCUGAGGGUGAAAGCGGGGGAUCUUCGGACCUCGCGCUAUUGGAGCGGCCGAGGGCGGAUUAGCUAGUUGGUGGGGUAAAGGCCUACCAAGGCGACGAUCUGUAGCUGGUCUGAGAGGACGACCAGCCACACUGGGACUGAGACACGGCCCAGACUCCUACGGGAGGCAGCAGUGGGGAAUGUGGGACAAUGGGCGAAAGCCUGAUCCAGCAAUGCCGCGUGUGUGAUGAAGGCCUUCGGGUUGUAAAGCACUUUUGGCGGGAACGAAAAGGACUGUGCCAAUACCACGGUUCGAUGACGGUACCCGCAGAAUAAGCACCGGCUAACUACGUG
Molecule: ribosomal RNA, 484 nt
Filed under: uncultured bacterium
Lineage: Bacteria
Description: partial 16S ribosomal RNA
Rfam family: Bacterial small subunit ribosomal RNA
Source: RNAcentral